UACGUAGGGCGCAAGCGUUGUCCGGAAUUAUUGGGCGUAAAGAGCUCGUAGGCGGCUUGUCACGUCGGGUGUGAAAGCCCGAGGCUCAACUUCGGGUCGGCCACUGAUACUGCUGGGCUUGAGUCGACUAGAGGCAGAUGGAAUUCCGGGUGUAGCGGUGGAAUGCGUAGAUAUCAGGAGGAACACCAGUGGCGAAGGCGGCUAUCUGGGCUGCAACUGACGCUGAGGCGCGAAGGCUAGGGUAGCAAACAGG
RNAcentral lists this ribosomal RNA (253 nucleotides) under uncultured bacterium. RNAcentral describes it as "partial 16S ribosomal RNA". It matches the Rfam family "Bacterial small subunit ribosomal RNA", at positions 524 to 776 of the family's 1533-position model. The record is from RNAcentral.